RNAcentral lists this ribosomal RNA (318 nucleotides) under Heterocarpus gibbosus. RNAcentral's name for it is "partial large subunit ribosomal RNA". The record is from RNAcentral. Lineage: Eukaryota; Metazoa; Arthropoda; Malacostraca; Decapoda; Pandalidae.
UUAUAUAAAGUUUGAAUUUUACUUUUAAGUGAAAAGGCUUAAAUAUAUGGGGGGGACGAUAAGACCCUAUAAAACUUUACAGACAUUGUUUGUAUUUUUGAAUUAAAGUUUAAUAUCAAUUGUUAUUGUUGUUUGUUAUGUUGGGGCGACAAAGAUAUAAUUGGAAUAACUGUCAAUUUUAUUAAAUAGUAAUAAUUAGUUAAUUGAUCCUUUAUUAGAGAUUAUAAGAUUAAGUUACUUUAGGGAUAACAGCGUAAUUUUUUCUGAGAGUCCAUAUCGACGAGAAUAGUUGCGACCUCGAUGUUGAAUUAAGAUUUC